This 824-nucleotide ribosomal RNA is filed under the name uncultured bacterium. RNAcentral's name for it is "bacterial SSU rRNA". It matches the Rfam family "Bacterial small subunit ribosomal RNA", at positions 58 to 917 of the family's 1533-position model. The record is from RNAcentral.
CAAGUCGAGCGGUAAGGCCCCUUCGGGGGUACACGAGCGGCGGACGGCUGAGUAACACGUAGGAACGUACCCCAAACUGAGGGAUAAGCACCAGAAAUGGUGUCUAAUACCGCAUGUGAUCUUCGGAUUAAAGCUUCGGCGGUUUGGGAACGGCCUGCGCAUGAUUAGCUAGUUGGUGAGGUAAUGGCUCACCAAGGCGACGAUCAUUAGCUGGUCUGAGAGGAUGAUCAGCCAGACUGGGACUGAGAACGGCCCAGACUCCUACGGGAGGCAGCAGUAGGGAAUUUUCCACAAUGGGCGAAAGCCUGAUGGAGCAACGCCGCGUGCAGGAUGAAGGCUCUUGGGUCGUAAACUGCUUUUAUAUGUGACGAUUAUGACGGUAGCAUAUGAAUAAGGAUCGGCUAACUCCGUGCCAGCAGCCGCGGUCAUACGGAGGAUCCAAGCGUUAUCCGGAAUUACUGGGCGUAAAGAGUUGCGUAGGUGGCAUUGUAAGUUGAUAGUGAAAGCGUGCGGCUCAACCGUAUACACAUUAUCAAAACUGCAAAGCUCGAGGGCGAGAGAGGUAAUUAGAAUUCCUUGUGUAGGAGUGAAAUCCGUAGAUAUAAGGAGGAAUACCGAUGGCGUAGGCAGAUUACUGGCUCGUCCCUGACACUAAGGCACGAAAGCGUGGGUAGCAAACGGGAUUAGAUACCCCGGUAGUCCACGCCGUAAACGAUGGAUGCUAGCCGUUAUCGGUAUCGACCCCGGUAGUGGCGAAGCUAACGCGUUAAGCAUCCCGCCUGUGGAGUACGGUCGCAAGACUAAAACAUAAAGGAAUUGACGGG